UGUGAUGCUGUGCUGCUGACUGGUCGCAGAGGACGUUGCGCAGCUGCAUUGGAAAUGUCAGCCCGGCCGGAGCGGGAUUCUUGGAGCCACAAGUACCGGAGACAGCUUUCCACUGACGGCCAGCAGUACCGGCAUAUGACGGAGAUACUACACCGGUCGAGCGGAAUGGGAAGGAAAAGCUGAAAACUGAACAGAUGAACACAGAGGGAAACUGAGAGGGAAACUGUGCGUGCUGGAGGCUGACAGCUCCGAGGUCAAUACCCUAUUUAAGUUUGUUGAUCUUAUAUGAAGAUCGCAUCACAUCGCUUUCACUUGCACAAAAACUUCUUAGACGGAAAACCACCAUCCUCGGCACAGUCAACAAGAUUCGCCGGGAAAUUCCUCAAUCCGCGAGACACACAGAUCGCAAUGAAUUCACCACUCAGGUGUUUUCAACCUCUGCUGCCACGCUGACGGCGUAUGCGGCCAAACGGAAGAAGACAGUCUA
Molecule: long non-coding RNA, 487 nt
Organism: Oreochromis aureus
Lineage: Eukaryota; Metazoa; Chordata; Actinopteri; Cichliformes; Cichlidae
Exons: 4
Source: RefSeq, a predicted model, not a curated record